GAUGAACGCUGGCGGCGUGCCUAAUACAUGCAAGUCGAACGCUGAAGGAGGAGCUUGCUCUUCUGGAUGAGUUGCGAACGGGUGAGUAACGCGUAGGUAACCUGCCUGGUAGCGGGGGAUAACUAUUGGAAACGAUAGCUAAUACCGCAUGACAACAGUUAUUGCAUGAUAACUGUUUAAAAGGGGCAACUGCUCCACUACCAGAUGGACCUGCGUUGUAUUAGCUAGUUGGUGAGGUAACGGCUCACCAAGGCGACGAUACAUAGCCGACCUGAGAGGGUGAUCGGCCACACUGGGACUGAGACACGGCCCAGACUCCUACGGGAGGCAGCAGUAGGGAAUCUUCGGCAAUGGACGGAAGUCUGACCGAGCAACGCCGCGUGAGUGAAGAAGGGUUUCGGAUCGUAAAGCUCUGUUGUAAGAGAAGAACGAGUGUGAGAGUGGAAAGUUCACACUGUGACGGUAUCUUACCAGAAAGGGACGGCUAACUACGUG
This 495-nucleotide ribosomal RNA is filed under the name uncultured bacterium. RNAcentral describes it as "partial 16S ribosomal RNA". It matches the Rfam family "Bacterial small subunit ribosomal RNA", at positions 28 to 507 of the family's 1533-position model. The record is from RNAcentral.